RNAcentral lists this ribosomal RNA (503 nucleotides) under uncultured bacterium. Its description in RNAcentral is "bacterial SSU rRNA". It matches the Rfam family "Bacterial small subunit ribosomal RNA", at positions 28 to 519 of the family's 1533-position model. The record is from RNAcentral.
GAUGAACGCUGGCGGCGUGCUUAACACAUGCAAGUCGAACGAAGCAUUACUUUUGGAAGUUUUUAGCUUGCUAAAAAUGGACAUGUGUAAUGACUGAGUGGCGGACGGGUGAGUAACGCGUGGGUAACCUGCCUUAUACAGGGGGAUAACAGUUAGAAAUGACUGCUAAUACCGCAUAAGCGCACAGUAUCGCAUGAUACGGUGUGAAAAACUCCGGUGGUAUAAGAUGGACCCGCGUCUGAUUAGCUAGUUGGUGAGGUAAUGGCUCACCAAGGCGACGAUCAGUAGCCGACCUGAGAGGGUGACCGGCCACAUUGGGACUGAGACACGGCCCAAACUCCUACGGGAGGCAGCAGUGGGGAAUAUUGCACAAUGGGGGAAACCCUGAUGCAGCGACGCCGCGUGAGCGAAGAAGUAUUUCGGUAUGUAAAGCUCUAUCAGCAGGGAAGAAAAUGACGGUACCUGACUAAGAAGCCCCGGCUAACUACGUGCCAGCCGCCGCC